AAGCCUGAUCCAGCCAUCCCGCGUGAAGGACGACGGCCCUAUGGGUUGUAAACUUCUUUUGUACAGGGAUAAACCUACUCUCGUGAGGGUAGCUGAAGGUACUGUACGAAUAAGCACCGGCUAACUCCGUGCCAGCAGCCGCGGUAAUACGGAGGGUGCAAGCGUUAUCCGGAUUUAUUGGGUUUAAAGGGUCCGCAGGCGGGCUAGUAAGUCAGUGGUGAAAGCCUACAGCUUAACUGUAGAACUGCCGUUGAUACUGCUAGUCUUGAGUAUAGUUGAGGUAGCUGGAAUGAGUAGUGUAGCGGUGAAAUGCAUAGAUAUUACUCAGAACACCGAUUGCGAAGGCAGGUUACCAAGUUAUAACUGACGCUGAGGGACGAAAGCGUGGGGAGCGAACAGGAUUAGAUACCCUGGUAGUCCACGCCGUAAACGAUGCUAACUCGUUUUUGGGCUAUAUGGUUCAGAGACUAAGCGAAAGUGAUAAGUUAGCCACCUGGGGAGUACGACCGCAAGGUUGAAACUCAAAGGAAUUGACGGGGGCCCGCACAAGCGGUGGAUCAUGUGGUUUAAUUCGAUGAUACGCGAGGAACCUUACCAAGGCUUAAAUGGGAAUUGAUAGCUGUAGAAAUACGGUUUUCUUCGGACAAUUUUCAAGGUGCUGCAUGGUUGUCGUCAGCUCGUGCCGUGAGGUGUUAGGUUAAGUCCUGCAACGAGCGCAACCCCUGUCACUAGUUGCCAUCAUUAAGUUGGGGACUCUAGUGAGACUGCCUACGCAAGUAGCGAGGAAGGUGGGGAUGACGUCAAAUCAUCACGGCCCUUACGCCUUGGGCCACACACGUGAUACAAUGGCCGGUACAGAGGGCAGCUACACUGCGAAGUGAUGCAAAUCUCGAAAGCCGGUCUCAGUUCGGAUUGGAGUCUGCAACUCGACUCUAUGAAGCUGGAAUCGCUAGUAAUCGCGCAUCAGCCAUGGCGCGGUGAAUACGUUCCCGGGCCUUGUACACACCGCCCGUCAAGCCAUGGAAGCUGGGGGUACCUGAAGUCGGUGACCGUAA
RNAcentral lists this ribosomal RNA (1055 nucleotides) under Riemerella anatipestifer. RNAcentral describes it as "bacterial SSU rRNA". It matches the Rfam family "Bacterial small subunit ribosomal RNA", at positions 379 to 1439 of the family's 1533-position model. Lineage: Bacteria; Pseudomonadati; Bacteroidota; Flavobacteriia; Flavobacteriales; Weeksellaceae. The record is from RNAcentral.